UGGCAUAGUGGUUAAGCGCUCAGCUGCUAACUGAAAGGUAGUUGGUUCGAAUCCACC
This is a non-coding RNA of Loxodonta africana (African savanna elephant), 57 nucleotides long. NCBI's taxonomy places the organism in Eukaryota, Metazoa, Chordata, Mammalia, Proboscidea, Elephantidae. The record is from Rfam.